GUGAAUCAUCAAAUUUUUGAACGCAAAUUGCACUCUCCUCGGAGAGUAUGCCUGUUUGAGGGUCAGCCUAUAAAAAAUCGACAUCGUUGGUGUUUAGCGGUGGCGUUAGUUGGAAAUUGGGUCAUCUUAAAUCAUUUUGAUUUAAGGGACUUAAACUUUUCUUUUGGUUCCAUGAACGUUUAUAAGAUAUAUUUCUUUAGACGUUUAAGUUAUCGAUUUUUA
Molecule: unclassified non-coding RNA, 222 nt
Filed under: Glomeraceae sp.
Lineage: Eukaryota; Fungi; Glomeromycota; Glomeromycetes; Glomerales; Glomeraceae
Description: partial contains 5.8S ribosomal RNA and internal transcribed spacer 2
Rfam family: 5.8S ribosomal RNA (bases 1-65)
Source: RNAcentral